RNAcentral lists this ribosomal RNA (253 nucleotides) under Sporobacter termitidis. RNAcentral describes it as "partial 16S ribosomal RNA". It matches the Rfam family "Bacterial small subunit ribosomal RNA", at positions 524 to 776 of the family's 1533-position model. The record is from RNAcentral. Lineage: Bacteria; Bacillati; Bacillota; Clostridia; Eubacteriales; Oscillospiraceae.
UACGUAGGUGGCAAGCGUUGUCCGGAUUUACUGGGUGUAAAGGGCGUGUAGGCGGAGCAGCAAGUCAGAAGUGAAAUCUCUGGGCUCAACCCAGAAACUGCUUUUGAAACUGCUGCCCUUGAGUAUCGGAGAGGCAGGCGGAAUUCCUAGUGUAGCGGUGAAAUGCGUAGAUAUUAGGAGGAACACCAGUGGCGAAGGCGGCCUGCUGGACGACAACUGACGCUGAGGCGCGAAAGCGUGGGGAGCAAACAGG